RNAcentral lists this ribosomal RNA (253 nucleotides) under uncultured bacterium. RNAcentral describes it as "partial 16S ribosomal RNA". It matches the Rfam family "Bacterial small subunit ribosomal RNA", at positions 524 to 776 of the family's 1533-position model. The record is from RNAcentral.
UACGUAGGGGGCGAGCGUUGUCCGGAUUUACUGGGCGUAAAGGGCGCGUAGGCGGCGCAACAAGUCACUUGUGAAAUCUCCGGGCUUAACCCGGAGCGGCCAAGUGAUACUGUCGUGCUAGAGUGCGGAAGGGGCUACUGGAAUUCUCGGUGUAGCGGUGAAAUGCGUAGAUAUCGAGAGGAACACCUGCGGCGAAGGCGGGUAGCUGGGCCGACACUGACGCUGAGGCGCGAAAGCCAGGGGAGCGAACGGG